Molecule: ribosomal RNA, 460 nt
Filed under: uncultured bacterium
Lineage: Bacteria
Description: partial 16S ribosomal RNA
Rfam family: Bacterial small subunit ribosomal RNA
Source: RNAcentral
CCUACGGGUGGCAGCAGUGAGGAAUAUUGGUCAAUGGACGAGAGUCUGAACCAGCCAAGUAGCGUGAAGGAUGACUGCCCUAUGGGUUGUAAACUUCUUUUGUACGAGGGUAAACGCAGAUACGCGUAUCUGUCUGAAAGUAUCGUACGAAUAAGGAUCGGCUAACUCCGUGCCAGCAGCCGCGGUAAUACGGAGGAUUCAAGCGUUAUCCGGAUUUAUUGGGUUUAAAGGGUGCGUAGGCGGUCGGAUAAGUUAGAGGUGAAAUCCCGAGGCUCAACUUCGGAAUUGCCUCUGAUACUGUUCGGCUAGAGAGUAGUUGCGGUAGGCGGAAUGUAUGGUGUAGCGGUGAAAUGCUUAGAGAUCAUACAGAACACCGAUUGCGAAGGCAGCUUACCAAGCUACUUCUGACGUUGAGGCACGAAAGCGUGGGGAGCAAACAGGAUUAGAUACCCGGGUAGUC